GAUGAACGCUGGCGGCGUGCCUAAUACGUGCAAGUCGAGCGAACAGACGAGGAGCUUGCUCCUCUGACGUUAGCGGCGGACGGGUGAGUAACACGUGGAUAACCUACCUAUAAGACUGGGAUAACUUCGGGAAACCGGAGCUAAUACCGGAUAAUAUAUUGAACCGCAUGGUUCAAUAGUGAAAGACGGUUUUGCUGUCACUUAUAGAUGGAUCCGCGCCGCAUUAGCUAGUUGGCAAGGUAACGGUUUACCAAGGCAACGAUGCGUAGCCGACCUGAGAGGGUGAUCGGCCACACUGGAACUGAGACACGGUCCAGACUCCUACGGGAGGCAGCAGUAGGGAAUCUUCCGCAAUGGGCGAAAGCCUGACGGAGCAACGCCGCGUGAGUGAUGAAGGUCUUCGGAUCGAAAAACUCUGUUAUUAGGGAAGAACAAAUGUGUAAGUAACUAUGCACGUCUUGACGGUACCUAAUCAGAAAGCCACGGCUAACUACGUGCCAGCCGCCGCAGUAA
Molecule: ribosomal RNA, 513 nt
Filed under: uncultured bacterium
Lineage: Bacteria
Description: partial 16S ribosomal RNA
Rfam family: Bacterial small subunit ribosomal RNA
Source: RNAcentral